This 301-nucleotide ribosomal RNA is filed under the name uncultured bacterium. RNAcentral's name for it is "partial 16S ribosomal RNA". It matches the Rfam family "Bacterial small subunit ribosomal RNA", at positions 509 to 809 of the family's 1533-position model. The record is from RNAcentral.
CAGUCGCCGCGGGAAAACGAAGGGUGCAAGCGUUACUCGGAAUUACUGGGCGUAAAGCGUGCGUAGGUGGUGGUUUAAGUCCGUUGUGAAAGCCCUGGGCUCAACCUGGGAAUUGCAGUGGAUACUGGGUCACUAGAGUGUGGUAGAGGAUAGUGGAAUUUCCGGUGUAGCAGUGAAAUGCGUAGAGAUCGGAAGGAACAUCUGUGGCGAAGGCGACUAUCUGGGCCAACACUGACACUGAGGCACGAAAGCGUGGGGAGCAAACAGGAUUAGAUACCCCAGUAGUCCCUGUCGCUUAUAC